CGCAACCUGAUGCUCGCGAGUCACGACAGAACAGAUCCAGUGUGAGUCCCGAAGUUACAAACAAACAGUUUACACAAUAACACUUCAUUAAACUACACCAUUUUCACAUGAUGAGGAUCACAGCAUUCACUCACAACCAAUUUCAUUAUUGAUUAGAUUAGUUGUUGCAGCUCUAAAAAUAAAUAAUAAACUCAGUGUUUCAAAGAGAAUAAAAUCCCAUACAGUUUGGAAAGUCACUGUUCCAGCAGUCGUACAGUCGCUCUAUUAAACAUUACUCUACUAUUGAACAUCAGGUAGCUGCUAAGUGUCUCCAUCAACACUUUAAUCUCGUAAGGAGCGCGAGACUGAGAAGAACCACCACACCCAGAGUCUAAACACUUGUCCCUCUAAGAAGUUGGACGCCGACCGCGAGGGGCCGCGUAACUAUUUAGCAUGCCGGAGUCUCGAUCGUUAUCGGAUUUAACCAG
Molecule: long non-coding RNA, 467 nt
Organism: Silurus meridionalis
Lineage: Eukaryota; Metazoa; Chordata; Actinopteri; Siluriformes; Siluridae
Exons: 2
Source: RefSeq, a predicted model, not a curated record